UUCGUAGGGGGCGAGCGUUGUCCGGAAUUACUGGGCGUAAAGGGUGCGUAGGCGGCCUUAUAAGUCAGAUGUGAAAUACCGAGGCUUAACUUCGGGGGUGCAUUUGAAACUGUAGGGCUUGAGUGCAGGAGAGGAAAGUGGAAUUCCUAGUGUAGCGGUGAAAUGCGUAGAGAUUAGGAGGAACACCAGUGGCGAAGGCGGCUUUCUGGACUGUAACUGACGCUGAGGCACGAAAGCGUGGGUAGCGAACAGGAUUAGAUACCCUGGUAGUCCACGCCGUAAACGAUGGAUACUAGGUGUAGGGGGUAUCGACCCCCCCUGUGCCGGAGUUAACGCAAUAAGUAUCCCGCCUGGGGAGUACGUGCGCAAGCAUGAA
Molecule: ribosomal RNA, 376 nt
Filed under: uncultured bacterium
Lineage: Bacteria
Description: bacterial SSU rRNA
Rfam family: Bacterial small subunit ribosomal RNA
Source: RNAcentral